CACAGGGCAAAGCCGCCUCAGCCUCUUGGGUAAAUUCCCCACACCUUCCCAGCGGAGAGAGCAGCAUGGAUCCCCCUGGGGACAGGAAUAAACUGUGUCCUUGUAGAAAAAGCAAUCCUCUUCCCAGCAGUGAGAAUGUCCUAGAUCUCCCUGCACCCACAACAGCCCCUUGACCCCAAGACCUGUGGCUCCAUUGUCAUGGAGCCUGGGCAAUGGCUCCAGGACAGUGUCCAGGGUCGCCAGGACUGAAGGGACACCUCAACAGAAUCCAGUUUUAGGGCGUUUCAGUGUUAAUAAGGUUUUCUCCAGUGCCAGGACUACAGGAAUUGCAUUCUCUCCACAAUUUAUUUUAGUUAUAAUUAAAUAAUACAGCAUUAGGGAGCACCAAAGGAAUCUCGAGGGGAAGGAAGAGGAAAGAUGCUGAAAUUGGGUCAUUCCCAAGGCUUUGUGUUUGCGAGGUCCACUGACUCAUUGGAGAAAGGGCUGUGGCAUGGAUGGAUGCUGUGCACGGGCAGAGCUCCUGCACAUGGCAAUGAACUGCAGGUCAGCUCCCUCAUAUUUGUCCGAUGGGGAGUAAGGCUGAAAAUAUUUCUAAACUCGUUUUCUUUUUCCUCUGGAGGGAGAUAAGAGUAAACAUGAAUCAUUCUCCGAAAAGUUUGAGAAGCAUGUUGUUCCAAGAAGAAAUAUGUAAUUUUUCUUUUUACAGUAACAAGUUCGCAGGAAACUUCAGGAGGCUUUUACAAAGGCUUGUAACCACUUUGAAGCUGGAGACUUUUUAUAUACGUAUAGCACUUGUGUAACGAGGUCUUAACUGUGAAUGAGAUUCCUGGGUGCAGUUGCAAUAAAGUGAUUAAUAGUAUCAUUCAUGGUAUCAUACCUCAUUCAUAGGUUUCCUGUAAGUAAAGAGGAAUACAUUGGCAGGAAUACAGUGGUUGUGACUUUAAACACGAUACUCUUGGGGGGAAAGUUACAGCAAACACGUGCACUGAAGGGCAAUGCAACUGGUAAAGCUACGAAAAUGGCUCCAGAAAAUAAUUUUUAGAUUAAAAAUCAGGGGGAAAAAACCACACAGAGAGGUAGCUCUAGACAGGUCUGUGGCACAGAGAAAGCAAGGUGAGUAUUACCACACAGCUUGUGAAACCAAAAACAGAAAAUAAGGAGACGUGUCUAUCAAAGGAAUGGGUCAGGGGUGAUCACUGUUUAUUCAGAAACAAACACUAAGGAGUCGGGUUUAUUUGUUUGGGGUUUUUUGCAGUCUGGAGACAGAAAGGCCUGAUUUUGUUACCAAAAUGUUUAUCACUAAAGUGUUUGUCACUGCUGCUUGUGGCACAUAUCCCUGAGAAGGCCAUGGAGGAUGCAAAAGGGAAUGCAGAACAGUCAUCAAAGGAGAAGUAAAUGUCGUGGCUGUGGGCUACAGCAGCUCAGGAUGCAUUUGGAGCCUCAACAGAAGUGACAAAUAAUGGGUCAAUAUUUCCUAUAAAGCUGCUUAUUUCAUUUGAAAGCAAAUAACGGGUCAAUAUUUCUGGUUUUUUCAUUUGAGGAAUAAGUUGUUAAACAGCUACCAAGUGACUGAAGUAUGGAGAAGGGUGUCGGGUGAUAAAAUAUGACCCGGUGUUUCACUGUACCAAGAUCCCCACGAUCAGCUAAAACAAGACAUUUAACUCGAUCCAAGAGGACAUCAGCCCUCGGGAGCAGGCAGGGUGACCAGCACAGCGGUCACUUGGGCCGCCUCCCUGCCCAGGCUCAAACACUCCCUGGCCGGCACUGCUCCUAUUUUUAAAUCUCUGCGCUAUGAAAAGCCCCGUUUCACAGCACCUGAAUUGGUGCCGGGAGUGUGUUUAUCACGCAGCUGUCAUCGCUUUUGAGGAAACAGGCCCAGGGCACUGCGGAUGUUGUCCUAAAGCCACCCGAGGAGACAGGCACGACGUGGCCUUUUGCACCAGGGCAGCUUCUGCUGUGUGGCACAGGCAAUGCUGCACAGAGCAAACUGACCCACCAGAGCUGGAACCAAGGCCUUUUUGCCCAGGGGGGAAUGAUACACUGAAUUUUCAGUUACUGAAUAUCAGUCUGUCUUGCUUACAUUGUUUCACAGGAAGGUGUUUACCGGUUUGAAAAGGUAAAAAUGUUCCCUCUACUUGCAACAGGAAAGCCCAGGAGUGAGUAUUGUCGCUGGAGAUAAUGUUACAGCCUUAGCAACGUGACACUUUAAAACUUCAUCAGCCUCCAAGAAUUUCAGAAAUAGCAAUGAAUGAAGGUAGCAAGUGUUAAGAGCAGGCAGUGCUUGCAAGAAGUGCCCUUACCAGCAGCGUUUUCAAGAGCUGUUUUCUGUUCCAGUUAUCACUAGAGCAGCACAACUCAGACCGCUUUUAAAUAAUUAUACUUAACAGUUAAAAAACCCUCCUGUGCUAAAAUAAAUUUUAGCUAAGAUGGUUUUAUGCUUUGCAGCCUCAUAUGACACUCAAUCUUUCUCGUGUGACUGUUGUAACGAGUCAAAUUCGUGUAUUUUGAUACUGUGCAUGUGAUAAAGAUGCUUGGAUCACUUAAGGCUGUACAAAACUGCAGUGCUCGCAUGUCAUUUAUCUUAAAAUCCUAUUGUAGUGCUCGUGAAACGUAAUUUCUUCAUUGAAUGGGAAUUUAUACUGACAGAGGUGUUAUAAAACAUGGAAAAUACUGCGGGGAGGGGGCCCAACGUUUUCUUUAUCUCUUCAAGUGUUCACUAACAGGGAUUUAUUUUUCAACUCGGCGUUGGUUCAUUGCAGGUUACAGAGCUCUGGUGCAAUUACAGGGACCCGUUUUCAGCCUUCUUAAGCAAAAUUCACAUUACUUGCAACAGGUUGGAAAUGUGUGUUGCGGCCUUGAGGCAGCAAACUGGUUCACAGGGUGCAGUUUCCAUAUUGGUUCCUAAAGCUGCUUGUAGGAAAUCACCCAGCCUGAAGGAACUCCUGGGAUCCCAGCCUCUGCCUUCCAGUUUCAAAAUGCAUGGGUAAGAAAAACCAAUUUAUAUUCAUAACCUUGAGUAAAUAAACUGUCACUUUAACUACACAUUUUAUUGUAAUUAAGCACUUCCCAGUAAUAACCAACCCACACUAUGAAGCUGUUUCUUAAUAUAACAGUAAGGCAAGUUCUAGGCUAUGAGCAGAAUUAGGAAGAUUUUUAAAAGCACAGACCAGUUGAUAUAACAGGGCAAUGUCACGCAGUUCUCAGCAUGUACAGAAAAGGUAGUUUUGCUAAGGAGCUUUAUCCUUAUUUUCAAGAAAUGCCAUUGCUGUGUGAUCAGCAAAAUCAAAUCUCACCUGUGGAAUUUCCCAUUAGGAUUUAUACCCAGUAUUAGCUUGACUCUGCUCCCGGUGGCUUUGCCUAACUCCAAAGGGAAGAGACCUAAGGCAGAUUUAGACCUUCCCCAGCUUUCUAAGGACCCGCUGCUGUCACCUCUCCAUAAUGCAGCUACAAUUAACUUAGCUGGAAUUUCUAUAUUUGAAGCAGCUCUAAAUUAGAGCCUGGACUUCCAGACAUGGAUGCAGAUAGUCUCUGCUACUGUCUGUACGAGCCCUUGGGUUUCACACUAAAAAAGCCCACCCAUGUUGACAAAUUUGCCCUUUGCAGUCUGGCUUCAGUGCAGCCGGUAAAAAUAGCGAGUGAUGCAGCAGACAGAAUGGGCCCUAAACUAUAUUUUUUGAUAGCUUUUCUUAGCUCCAGACUAAAGAGCAAGGCAUCAGAUGUUGACAGAUUAGCAGGGAAUAUACCGAGCAAAGGAAUCUGUUACUGAAAUGCCCACAGUCCAGCGGUUUUGCUGUCCUCCAGAAUUUGAACUUCUCCCUUGGUUUUCAGUUGUAUUUUGAUUAAAGCAUAAAUACCAGCAACUGGCACAUGUCAGCCGACAUCAGAGCUAUGUGCCAAAGCUUUCUUCAGGUCGGAGCUUUAGUGACACUUUACUCAUCCGUGGAUUUUGUUAGGACUUCUGGGGCAUAGCUCAUUAUUUUUACGACUGUAACCAGCAGUCGUUGGAUAAUUAUUUCCCUUUAAAUCCAGGAGAACUCGUCUGGCCUUUUGGGUGGGGAACUUAAUGGCAAGAAGUCUCUGGAGGACGGUUGACGCUGGGUGGUAGUUGUACCAUGGGCAUGUUACCCGCCCCCAAAAAGGAGAAUCCAGGCUCUAAUCCAUACCCCCAAGUCGUGCCAGCUUGCCGGGUACCAAAGCACACCCACACUCGAGCUGGAGACUCCUGUGUUCAGACAAGGAGGAUUAGGGACAUCAUGUGACUAAUUCUGCAAUGACGGUAUAUGCUUAAUUGGUAAAGGACUGUGUUUUCUAUCCUUUUUAAACCCAGGUCAUAGUGUCAAAAGUCUGGCUGACGUUUGAGGUUCCUUUCAGGUAUUUUCUUCAUUGAGAUUCACUGUAUUUAAAGUUACUGUGGUUGCCAGCUUUGUCUUAUGCCCUCAAGCGCUACUAUGCCUUUUAGUCAUAAGAAACCAGCAUUUAAAUUCCCCUGAAACGCCAGGCUGUGCUACUUUUGCAGCCCGCAGAGGGCCUUCCCUCAACCACAGUACAAAAACUCUGACUGUUGCAAAAGCCAGUGGCCAGGAGUCAGGAAAAGCACAGAAUAUACAUAUAUAUAUGUAUAUAUGUAUGUAAAAGCAGACUAUAGUCCUAAACUUUAGACACGUCUUGCUUUUAUGCUCUCUGCUUCAGAUUCCCUGUAACAUAUAAAUACAGCAUUGUUGAUGCUUAGCUCAUAAAAUAUAAAUACUCCCUAACUUCCAGGAGAGUGCGUUGCAGCCAGUUGAAGUCAAUGCAUCUUUAAUUUGGUGGAAGGAAGAUGUUCCUACCAGGUGAUUGUAGUCAACCAUUCAAAGAGUUUACCAAGGGCCACGGCAUCAAAAUUCCUUCUAUUUAAGACUACCUGAUUGCCUGUCAGGAAAAUGUGUUCCUGAGUUGGUGUAGCAACACUGGAAUCGCUUUUUGGUGACAACUCUGUGGACUGACAGCCUCUAGUAAUGUCAAUCUAUUAAUCUUUUGCUCUGUGCCAUAAAGUAUUCUGUCCUCCUUCCGUUAAAAGCUGAAAGUAAGUAAAUACAGGUCUCAUCAUGAGAUCAUUUUGCUUGCGUUCAGGUUGUCUACAAAGCCUCUACUUGAGGUGGACAAGCAGAAGGGCAAAAGAAGAUCUUUCCAUCCUUGGCAUAAGGCCAGCCAAGGUGUGACACUGUGAGCCUGGGGCUCGGGAGCUGCAGAGCUGCCCUGGUCAUUCUGCUUUGCUGUGCACAACAGCCAGUGUUGCUGACACUGUCUGGGGGAAGGGCAAGGUGUUAAACUUACUCUGAGCUUGGAGUGGUUUUGGACCAGGUCAGGCCAGCCUUAAGUGCUGCACGCCUUUGGGUGGCUGCCAGCAGAUCCUGUGGGGUUUUGUAACACCUAAAAAAAGAGCCUGGGAAUACAACAGCUCUUGAGUUUGCAGAGUGAGAAGAGCCCUUAGACUGUUUCCCAACCUUGUCUGCUUAAGUUACCAUCCUGUGUAAAAGAAGAUAGUAAUUAUUUACUCACAUUGUCUUCAACUGUUGAUGUUUUACCUGGAAAUGCAAUGCAGGUCUUUUAAAGCACAUAUGGUGGCUACAGCAGCCUAGAGCCAAAGCCUGUCAUCUCUCCAGCUCCCUUGCCUUCCUCUCUCCCCAGGUGUUUAGUUGGCAGAAGGACUUCUUUCAAAUUCUGGUAUUUUAUUUAAAAACAUAGACUCAGUUUAAACUCAGAGGUUUUAAACUGGUUGCAAUUAAACUUUAACAACGGGAAGGUUCUUAGGGAGGUGCUGUGUCCCUUUGAAAUGGCUUUUUGAAGAAAAGCAUCUGUAUCCCUCCUGCAGCCAGCUGGACUGCACUGCAGGGUUAACUUUCACUGUUACCUGUGGCCUUGUGCCUCCUGACACACUCAAGGCAUGUAUGGAAGGACCAAUAAAACAUGUCCUGGAGUGUUAGGUGUAUUUUUAGAGUUUGUCCCAGAUUACUGGCCUUUGUCCCAGAUUUCAGUGGUUAGGGUGUAAGAAUGCCCGGUGGGGCUGAGUGCUUCCUGCAUUGCUCUCAGGAAGGCUUUAAUCAGGAAAAAUACCCUCUCAGAGAAGGCAAAUAAUUAAGUUUUUGUGGCAUAUACUCUACUGCCAUUAGCAGGAGAUGAUAAACACUCAAGACCACAGUUUAAAUAGAGCGAGGCAGAUGCACUAAGCUUUAAAGUGCAACAUUAUUGUGUUACGUGGUAUUGAGUAAUGAAUUGGACAUUACUAACAAGGCAGUUUUCCUUUUGUCUUAUUGGGACCAGAAUUUGUUUUUACACCAUAAAGUGUCUGCCUUUGCUGCUCAUCAUGGGAAAAUGCUGAUGUAAACCACCUGGAGGAAGCUCAUCCCACAUGCUGGCAGCUGGCAAUGUGCAAGUGGGGAGCUAAUGUUGGAAGGGAUCUUCAGGUGUCAUGCUGUCCAUUCUCCUCCCUUUGGCAGUGUUUAAUUGACCUAUGGCAUUCCUGAUAAAUGCUCAUUCUACCUCUUCCUGCAGUGCUCCAGGCUCACAGGCAUGAUGAGUUUAGCCUGACAGAACUCCUUCCCUCCUGUAUAACCUCAGCCUUUCCUGAUGUAGUUUGGUCCUUACUGAGUAUUUGGGGGAAUGAUUCCUCCUUUUAUCUCUUCUUCAGCUUUUAGCCACUGGAAGAUCAUCUCUCCUCAGCCUGCCAAAGCCAGAACACCUUAUUUGUCCCUUCCUGACAUUUCUAGUUGUUCAGCACGACACUCACUCCAUCCCUUGGACUGCUUAGCCAUAUCUCAGGGGCUAAAUUCCUUUGCUGAAGUCCUGGACUCCCCAUGCCAAUAUCACUGGCAUCUACUCCUCGGCUCUGGGGAAAUUCUCUGGAUUCAGCUCUCCCAGUUAUUUUGAAGGUCUUUGGGAUGUUGAGGAGCUACCAGAUGGACCCAUCCAAGCAGUUUUCUUCCCUCUUGGUCUUGCCUCCUUACCUUCCUACCAACUGCUUCUUGCCCAGCUGCCCUAAUGCACUUUAUCAGACUAUUUCUUCAGCCUCAUGGCAUAGGACAUAGCACAUGUAACAAAUACUAAGUAUAAAAACUAUUCUGUUAAGAAUCUAGUCACUGGUCCAUCAGUUUUGUAGGGAGAUGGGAGUGACACAGCACCAGGACAGAGGCAGAUAAAGUUCUCCUGUACUCACUCAUGCCUGUGAGAACCUGCUCUCCUUCCCAGAGCUCUCCAGUAUUCAACUCUUGGACAUUUUGGCAUAUUAUCAGUGAUAAAUGUAUUCACAAGUGAGAGCAGACAGCCCUGCAGGUUGUGAUGCCAGGGUAUUGUGGGUUCUUGGCAUCAGCAGUGCCUGUCUGUGGAUUUCAGACGAAUGAAACAGAAAUAUUUUUAUAGUCAGCCUCAAGUUUUUAUCUAUUUGUGGGUGUCUUGGUGUCCCCUAAAUAGGGAUUAGGUCCUUUGGCAGGAAGACUGUACUUUAUGUCUUGACUUUCCUGGCCCCAUAUCCUCCCAACCUUCUCUUUCUCCUGAAGGCCACUGAGCUUUAUUUUUGCUACCAAAUGCCACUCAUUUGUAUUGAGAAACAGGUUCCAGCAGCAGGGAAAUUAUCAAUAAUCCAGUUGGUGUAGCAAUCUGUUUCUCAUUUCUUGUGACCUAUCCUGCUGUGGGAUGAUGCACCCACAAUAAUUAUUACUGUUAAUUAUUCACCUACAAUAGUUUAAAUGCUUGCAAGUGCCUACUGACAUCAGAUGUGAAAAGAAUUCAAUAAUAAUGGAGGGAGAAGAAAGAUUUUUAAAAAACGAGGAUGACAUGAGACAAGGAUGAGAAGGGUGAAGGAUAUAUGGCAGAGGUACUGGUUGGGGGUAUUCUGGUGGCCUGGGUUCCAGCUCAAGCUUCUGCAGGAUCUCUGAUAGGCUUUGCUUUACUUAUCUCUUAAGUCGGGAUCAGAAUAGGAACAACGGACUUUAUCCACAGAAGUAAUUAAAAUGUUGCACUCCCUGGCAGCAGAGUUAAAAUCAAUUUCUCUAAUACAAGAUGAAGAGCAAUUGGCCAGGCUGCUGCCAUGUGGAAAAAGAUCUGGGACUGUGAUGCUUGGGAGUGCAGCAGAAACCCAGUGCUGCAAAAAUCCAGCAGUUCUCCUGGGAUGUCUGUUGCGAGGGGCACACUGGCAUGGGUCAAUCUUUCCAUUCAGCUUGGCAACGGCAGGAUCUUGGCUCAAGAACAAUUUCCUCACCUCAGGAAACAUAUGGCUCAGCUGGGGAAAGCCCAAGGGGGUGCAUAAAAAGUGACUGGAGGUGUAGGAAACCUGCCUUUGAGGUAAAGCGGAGAGAGAGAAGUGUGUGGUCUGAACAGGGGACUGAACUGAGACAAAACAAAUUGUCAAAUACAUGCAAGGCUGAUGCAAAGAGGAGUGGCACAAUGUGUCCUUUUACCUUCUGCAAGUAGGGUGAGUAAUGGGCUUCAACUCCAGCAGGAACAACACAGGUAAAUGAUCAGGAAAAAUUUUCCGGUGCUGUGGCUGUUGUAGAAUUGGCACUGCAGGAAUUUGUUAGCCAAAGCUCUUGCAGGAGUGGUUGAGGUAUUGUUGAUUGUACUGGGAACCUCUUAGAGGGGUUUAUCCAACUGUUGUUUUUUUUUUAUUUUCUCCAGUUGCCACUGAAUCACUGGAAUUCAGCACUGCAGCAUUUGGGAACACCUGCCACAAUAGCACCUGCCUGUUUGUAAUCAAGAGGAUUGCAAAGCAAUCACAUGCAUAUUUAGCUGAUGUGCAGCUCCCAGGAUUGAUGGUGCACAGAAACAAGCUAAGAAAUACGUGUGCUGUAACUGUGGAAGUUGGUUAUUCUGGAGCACUGAAAAUCCAGCUUUUCUUUGACAAGGAGAUGCUGCACGUGAGAAAUAUCGCAGGUUAUAUUUAGUGUUACAGAGGCACAAAGGAAAUCUCAUUAGAACCCACUGACAGUGAUCUGUUGAAAAGGGAAUAGGAGCGAUUUGUGAGCUCGUGGAAAAACUGUGCAUCUCUGUUCUGCCCUGUCCUCACUGUCUGCUGCUACUCUAGGACACAGACUUCUUGAGAGAAGGAUCUGUGCCUGCUUGCUCAGUUAGCUCUGAUACAUCAUAUUUUAUUUGCUGGGAGACUUGAACAAUGAGCAACAAACACUCCUGCUCCUAUUUUAAACACAUUGAAACUGCAGUACAGAGUAAUAUAAUGACUUGCUCAGAGUCACAGAGCAAUUUUGUGGCAGGGCUUGGAUCAAAAUCCAGCUCCCUUGCUCCCAAACCCAUGUGCCAGCCUUUCUCUUCAUUGACCCUUAAUUUUAAUCACCUACCAAGAAAUUCUGUUGGCCUCUUCCAGCUGACUUCCAUGGGAGUAAUGCCAGGUAUCAAAUGAAGUCACUGGGAAUAUCAAUGCAACAGAAGCCAAUAUUCGAUGCAAAGAAAGAACUGAUGGAAGGGGAAAAAAUAGAUUUUACCAAAAAAAAAAAAAAAACACCAGAAAAAAAGGAAUAAGUUCUAAUGCCGUUUCCAUAAUAUCAUUCCCCUUUUAACUUGUGCCUGGUCAAAAUUAAAAAAAAAUAGAUUGCUAAUAUUAAUAGAUGAAAUGAAUCUUGAAUUUUAUAAUAGUGGAGGAAAUGAAAGGAACAAAGUAAUAUUGUGUUGUUAACUGAGAUUUUAAUAAUGAUUCUGUCCUCAGUUGGUGCAUUUAUUCCACAGAAAGUAAAUCAUUAAUGAAGAGGAGGGGAAAACAGUUUUGUGGUGAUGGAUUUUUGAAAGAAAAGUUUAAUUUUGCUAAACUUCCAGAAACUCUGAAAUGUGUCUGGAGCUCUAAAACUAAAACACCAACACCUCAAAAACAGCUGAUAAAAGUGGGAUUUAGCCAAGUGGUUAACAUUGCCUGGGGAGUGGUGGAGGAUGUCCGUGGCUGCUCUCCAAGAGAGCUGAGGAUUACAAAUCUUCAUCAAAGGCAAGAAGAAUUGUCUGAGGAAUAGGGACUUCUAGGUCCAGUGAGUGCAUGGUCUGCCAGAAAGGAAGAAACUGAGUGAAAUCUUUGCAACAAAUAAUGCUAUUAUGGAUGUGUACUUGCACAGAAAGCCAGCAAAAGGGCACUGCAGCACCUCAGCUGUGUUUUGGUGGUAUCACUGACACUGAGAGUCACACAGCUUUGUGCUCAAAGGAAGAGAUGAAUCACCGUGGACUCCAUCGACAGUAUUGACUGGCUCUCUGUUGACUGGUGAGGGAGCCACGAGUGACUCCCUCAAGUGUAGAUUUCUGCUUUAGUUGGGUGAACCUACCGAGAGCUUCGUGCCCAUACUGUAAGACUCGGAUGCUCUGAGCAGCCCAGACUGUGGCAUUUCAGUCAAUAACUUCUAUGGCAAGCGACACCCAUCAGGAGGAGUUUGCAAUGUAAGUGGACGAAAGAAAUAGCAGGUGAGAAACAGAAAUUCCCUGUG
Corapipo altera (White-ruffed manakin) is the source of this 10448-nucleotide long non-coding RNA. RefSeq lists it as uncharacterized. The transcript is spliced from 3 exons. Lineage: Eukaryota; Metazoa; Chordata; Aves; Passeriformes; Pipridae. The record is from RefSeq and is a predicted model, not a curated record.